RNAcentral lists this ribosomal RNA (253 nucleotides) under uncultured bacterium. Its description in RNAcentral is "partial 16S ribosomal RNA". It matches the Rfam family "Bacterial small subunit ribosomal RNA", at positions 524 to 776 of the family's 1533-position model. The record is from RNAcentral.
UACGAAGGGGGCUAGCGUUGUUCGGAUUUACUGGGCGUAAAGGGCGCGUAGGCGGAUGGCACAGUCAGAUGUGAAAUUCCUGGGCUUAACCUGGGGGCUGCAUUUGAUACGUGUGAUCUAGAGUGAGGAAGAGGGUUGUGGAAUUCCCAGUGUAGAGGUGAAAUUCGUAGAUAUUGGGAAGAACACCGGUGGCGAAGGCGGCGACCUGGUCCUUAACUGACGCUGAGGCGCGAAAGCGUGGGGAGCAAACAGG